CCAUAAUUGGGGUCACAUAAGAGAGACUUAACCCGGGGUCCAACAACACAUAAACAUAAAAGUAAAAGACGUGGAGCAUACCAAUAAUAAUAUCGGGAGAGUCCUUCUUCUCCUGAUAGGAUGGUAUGGCACAGAAUUUAUUCUGGCACUGACCGCCAGUAGUGCUAGAUGAAGCGCCCAUAGCAGGGGUGGGAUGGGGUAUAGGAGCUAGUGCACUAGUAUCCUGUUCUUGAGGUCGGGC
RNAcentral lists this long non-coding RNA (241 nucleotides) under Capsicum annuum. RNAcentral describes it as "long non-coding RNA (CANN_LNC015666)". The record is from RNAcentral. Lineage: Eukaryota; Viridiplantae; Streptophyta; Magnoliopsida; Solanales; Solanaceae.